UGGCUGUAAUCUUCCUCCUCUGUUUAUUUGCUGGAUCUGUGGUUUGGGGUUGUUCUGUCCUGAAGGGGUUUCUUCUCUGCUCUGUGACUGACUAGAUUAGUCUGAUGGAGUAUUAAUGAGCCCUGAGGUCAGACUUUCCCCAGUUGGCAGCAGAAGCUGAAAGUGUAGGUGCAGGUUCAAGGGAGCUGUGCUUCCAGCCCCGUUAUUAAGGUAUUCUGUAGUGGUUGCAACCUUUGUCCUGGGAGCUUAGUCAGCAAGGCUCUGUGCAGGAUGGAUGUUAGAGACUGAGCUUCCCAGCCUUCUGAAGAUUUCUUAUCUGCCUUAUUAAUAAGAUUAAGCCAGGGUGGAGCUUAUCUACCUUGAAGUCAAAAUCUUGAAGGGGGUGUGGGGGAAGAUGGAGAUUUUUGGCUGCAACUAAACUGCCUUCUCCUUGCUUCUCCUCUAGCUGCCUCCCUGCUGACUAUGGUCAGUGCCCUGAGCCUGGCAUAUUUGUUACAGCAAGGCACUCCCUCCAGGCUGGCACCAUUGCCCCAAGAUUCCAGUGACCCCCAGAGACUCAGUACAGUAGGUGUCUACCAACCUCAUGUGUGUUUCUUGGAGACAACAUAUGGUGCGGUUUUGGAUUCUAAUCCAUUCUGCUAUUCAUCUACAUUUUAUGGGAAGAAAGAAAGAAAGAAAGAAAAGCAGGAAGGAAGAAACAAAGAAAAGAACAAAAAACAAAGAAAGAAACAAAGAAAGGAAAGAAAGAGAGAGAGAGAAACAAGGAAACAAGAGAGAGAGGAGAGAGAAAUAAAGGAAAACUGAAAAAAAUCAGAUCAAUUGAUCAAUGAAUAUUGAAAAGUCUGCCAUUCUAUCCAAUCCACCACUGCAAAAAGAAAAAAAAGACAUGUCUUCUGAUACAUUUUCCUUCCUUCUCUUUGUAAUUUUAAACUUUAAUUUUAAUUCCUUCAUGUUGAUUGUUGUUUUAAUACAACACAAUACAAUACAAUACAAUUCUUGUAAUCAUUGUAUGGAUUACUUUUCACCUGUUAAAUUUUCCUUGUAUCAGUUUAGAGAAGUCUUUCCAUACUUCUAUAAUUUGCCCACAUUUAUUAUUUCUUAGAGCAUGAUAAUAUUAUAUUAUAUUCAUUGAUCAAAACUGGUUUAAACCAAUCUCCAACUAAAGAGAAUCGAUUUUGUUUCUAUUUAUUUGCCUCCAAAAAAGUGAUACUUUGGUACAUAGAGAACUUUUCUCUUGGCUAAUAAACAUCUUCAUAAGUGCA
Molecule: long non-coding RNA, 1262 nt
Filed under: Monodelphis domestica (gray short-tailed opossum)
Lineage: Eukaryota; Metazoa; Chordata; Mammalia; Didelphimorphia; Didelphidae
Description: lncRNA (ENSMODG00000049206.1)
Source: RNAcentral